CCUACGGGGGGCUGCAGUGGGGAAUAUUGCACAAUGGGCGCAAGCCUGAUGCAGCCAUGCCGCGUGUGUGAAGAAGGCCUUCGGGUUGUAAAGCACUUUCAGCGGGGAGGAAGGCGGUGAGGUUAAUAACCUCAUCGAUUGACGUUACCCGCAGAAGAAGCACCGGCUAACUCCGUGCCAGCAGCCGCGGUAAUACGGAGGGUGCAAGCGUUAAUCGGAAUUACUGGGCGUAAAGCGCACGCAGGCGGUCUGUCAAGUCGGAUGUGAAAUCCCCGGGCUCAACCUGGGAACUGCAUUCGAAACUGGCAGGCUAGAGCCUUGUAGAGGGGGGUAGAAUUCCAGGUGUAGCGGUGAAAUGCGUAGAGAUCUGGAGGAAUACCGGUGGCGGAGGCGGCCCCCUGGACAAAGACUGACGCUCAGGCGCGAAAGCGUGGGGAGCAAACAGGAUUAGAUACCCCGGUAGUC
Molecule: ribosomal RNA, 465 nt
Filed under: uncultured Klebsiella sp.
Lineage: Bacteria; Pseudomonadati; Pseudomonadota; Gammaproteobacteria; Enterobacterales; Enterobacteriaceae
Description: bacterial SSU rRNA
Rfam family: Bacterial small subunit ribosomal RNA
Source: RNAcentral